This is a long non-coding RNA of Xyrauchen texanus (razorback sucker), 1222 nucleotides long. RefSeq lists it as uncharacterized. NCBI's taxonomy places the organism in Eukaryota, Metazoa, Chordata, Actinopteri, Cypriniformes, Catostomidae. The transcript is spliced from 3 exons. The record is from RefSeq and is a predicted model, not a curated record.
CAGAAGAUGUUCAUGGUUUGACUUUCUACUGGAGUCGUGUCAAUAUAUAUAUAUAAUAGAUCAGGAUUCUUCUACACAACAGAAGAUGUUCAUGGUUUGACUUUCUACUGGAGUCGUGUCAAUAUAUAUAUAUAAUAGAUCAGGAUUCUUCUACACAACAGAAGAUGUUCAUGGUUUGACUUUCUACUGGAGUCGUGUCAAUAUAUAUAUAAUAGAUCAGGAUUCUUCUACACAACAGAUGAUGUUCAUGGUUUGACUUUCUACUGGAGUCGGUGUCAAUAUAUAUAUAAUAGAUCAGGAUUCUUCUACACAACAGAAGAUGUUCAUGGUUUGACUUUCUACUGGAGUCGUGUCAAUAUAUAUAUAAUAGAUCAGGAUUCUUCUACACAACAGAUGAUGUUCAUGGUUUGACUUUCUACUGGAGUCGUGUCAAUAUAUAUAUAAUAGAUCAGGAUUCUUCUACACAACAGAAGAUGUUCAUGGUUUGACUUUCUACUCGAGUCGUGUCAAUAUAUAUAUAAUAGAUCAGGAUUCUUCUACACAACAGAUGAUGUGAAUGUUUCUGCACUUCACUCAUUUAUUCAAGAGUGAAGAUUGAUGAAGAUGAUGAAGAGGAUGAAGAUGUGUGACGGAUCAAAUGUGGAUCAUCAGAAGAUCAAUCAUGAGCACAAACAGAAACACUCACAAUCUAAUGAAUCAACUGAGAAAACAUCAAUUAAACUUCAGCGUCGAAACAGCAAAGAUAUAAUUUCAGAAUUCUCUCAUGAUCCACACAAAUCUGAGAGUCAUUCAAUGAGAGAUAUUGACGUCCAGACGGCAUUCUGGGUCACGUCAUCAGAGCAUACGUGACCCAACUGCUGGUGUUUUAUACAGACAUCAUCAACCCGUCCCUCUCCUUGUCUGUAGUCCCCACAUGCUUUAAAACAUCCUCCAUUGUGCCCGUACCAAAUCAAUCCAAAAUCACUUGUUUAAAUGACUGACGUCCUGUUGCUCUGACCCCAUCAUCAGCAAAUGCUUUGAGAGACUAAUCAGAGAUCACAUCUGCUCUGUGCUGCCCGCCUCACUGGACCAACAACCGCUCCACUGAUGAUGUCAUUGAUCUACACUACACACUGAUCUCUCACACCUGGAGAAAAGGAACACAUAUGUGAGAAUGCUGUUUGUAGACUACAGCUCAUCAUUCAACACCAUAGUGUCCUCCAAGCUUGAUGAGAAACUCCGG